This is a long non-coding RNA of Cavia porcellus (domestic guinea pig), 5110 nucleotides long. RefSeq lists it as uncharacterized. NCBI's taxonomy places the organism in Eukaryota, Metazoa, Chordata, Mammalia, Rodentia, Caviidae. The record is from RefSeq and is a predicted model, not a curated record. The transcript is spliced from 2 exons.
CAGGGGGUCAGAGUGGGAGGCUGGCCCGGCCUCAGGAGCAGCGGAGCGGCCCUUCCGGGGCUCCAAGAACCCCAGAGCCAGGUGGGGGGCUCUGGCCUGGAGCUGCCUGGGGCAGGGGUGCAGAGCCAGCACCGUGGAGGCUGUGGGCUCAAGAAUGGUCAGCUGAGCCCCGUGGCCUGUGCCCAGGUGGCCCCGCUCCGAGGUCAGGUGCUUUGGGGACACGGCCAGCCUCCUACGGCAUCAGGGCCUCCGCCUCCACGCUCCCCAUCCUGCUCCUGACCCAGCUCCUGCUCUGGGCCACAGACCUGAUCUCCUGACCCCAAAUGCCCGGCCAGGCAGGACACAGGACACAGAGCCUGGCUGUGGCCCCAGGCCUGUGUGAUGGAUUCCCAGGCCCUCCCCUGGAGAGCUGUGGAGCACCAGGUGCACGGGGCUGUUUCCUUCCUGGACUGGGCCGGCCUUCCCCAGAGUGGCAGCCACAGCAUGAGCUAAUUUGUUUGUUUAUUUUAUUUUGAGACAGGGUCUCACUAAUUUACCCAGGCUGGGCUCAGACUGGGUCUCAGCUUCCCAGAGUGCAUUUUUUUAAAAAGAAUUGGGCAGCAGUCCUGUCCCCAGCCUGGCCACUGCCCAGCUUUCUGUGUCUCCACUGUGGUCAGCAUUUCCAGAACACUGUGGCUGGAGCCCCCAGGGUCUGCUUCCCCUGGGCCACUCCCCGCCCCCUUCUCAGGCAGCUGUGUUUACAGUUUGACCGCAUGGGUCCCGGGCUCAGUGGCUGUCUUCUUUCUCAGGCCACCACUCACCACACUGCGGAGACAGACCUUGGUCUGUGCGCCCCGGUCCCUGCUGCGGACCUGAGGUCAGUUUUCAUCAGAGAUCUGAACCAGCCGUGGACACCCACACACAGGCACUGGUGUGGACACACCUGGGCUUGCUGGGGCCCGGGGGCCCUGCCGGACUGCGGUGAGAUGCUGCCCUGGUGACAGCAGGUGCCACAGUCCCUGCGCACCUAUCUUCACUGGCCAUACAUGCCAGCGGUGCUCAGACACUGGCCUUCUCUAUCCUGAGUGUUUUAUUUACAGGCGACAGAACCCAGGGCCAUCCCCUGCACCACCCCCUGCCCCUUUGUGCAGAGGGUUUUGCUAAGUUGCCCAGGCCGGGCUUGAAACUGGGCUCCUUCUAUCUCAGCCUUCCAUGUGCUGGGGUCACAGACCUGCACGCCAGGCCAGCCUGUUUCUCAUGAGGGACAAGCCUGUGUCCAGAUUCGUCUGCUCAGGCUGUGACCAGCGGCCUGUUUUGUAACCUGCAAAUCUGCUGCUGUGGGGGCCUGGCCCAGGCCCAGCUGCCCUGUGCUGUCUGUAAUCCUGGUGCUCAGGUCCUGGGGCUGCUGGGGAGGAGCCCUCGUCCCAUUACAGGACGUGAAGGCAGAGUGUCCGGCAGGCCUGUGCCUCGUGGCUGUCUCUGGCAGUGGUGGCCACAAGAUAGAGGCCCUGGCCAGCCUGAGGUCAGACAGGGCUCUGGUCCCUAGUGAUGGAUGCUGUGUUCCAGGCCAUGGUGGUACAGUUGGGGAACACUGCCUGGCAGAGAUGAAUCUAAGUCCAGCUGAGACUGGCAGAAGAUGAGGGUCCACCCUAUCCCAGUACCGCCAAUCCUAGCCUCCCCCACCACUUCCCGGCCUUGCCCUGGCCCACAGGGUCCAGCCUUCUUGCGGCCCUGGCAUCCCCUGUCCCUCUCCAUGGUGCCACCAGACUUACCUCACCAGCUGGGCUGCUGCUGGGAGGGGCUAAGGGCCUGAGGUCGGGCACCUCAAGCCAGACACAGGCAGGAGCUGAGUGCAGACAGCUAAUUUUGGGGUGUGGGGCCCAUGUGCAGCGGAGGGGGAGGCCAGGCAGGGAAGGUGGGGCUGGCUAGGGACCAGCUGGGGGAACCCAGCCCAGGAGGACACUUCCUGAGGUGACCUGGACAGUGGUCAGGGCUGUAGAGAGGAGCCUGGGAGAGGGGACAAGCUAGGGAGGUGGGGGUUGGAGGCUGAAGGCUGCGUGCAGGCUGAUGCCCAGAGGGGACACGGAGGGCAUCUAAUGAACUCUCGACCCAGGUCCCUGUGGGUUGCCACACCAUGUGGCAGGCCCUGUGAAGCUGAGGAGACACAGGGUGGCCUGGAACCAGCCGCUUGGGGACAGUCGGGCCACCAAGCCUGAUAGACACCAGCCCUCGGGCCUGGGAAGCAGCGUUCAGCCUUCUCCGGCUCUGAAGGAAGACCCCCACACACGGCUCCAGGCACUGCACACUGUGGCCCACGGUCUCCAGAACAAACACCGAAUCUCCUGCGGCUCUGCACCCGAGCCGCUGUGUGACCUGACAGUCCUGGCCUCUCUGGUCCAAGGUUUCUUCACAGGGAAAAGCAAGGCCAGGACCAAGCCCGAGGUCUGCCCAACUCGAAGGGCAGCUUCUCGGUGGGGGACACCCCUGAGUGUCGGGGAGCAGUCGCUUAGAGCCCCAGAUCUGGGCAACAGUACGUCGUCCUUCGGUGGUGGAGGAUAAGGGGCUCCCAGGGGGUGUCACCCAGAGGCCCAGUCCAAGGUGGCUUCGAACCUGAGCCUGGGCUGCUCUGGGGCCUUUGUGUAGUCCCCCUUGGUUGCUCCGGACCUGCCUUGGGGGACAGAAUAAAGCUUUCUCAGAGGAGAGUGAGGAGGAGGGGCUUGGGUCCAGGGUCCCCGCCCCGCUGCUGCGCAGGCGCAGGCCCAGCGUGGUUUCGGGGUGCGGAGGAGAGGGCGGGCGCGGACAAGCCCAGUUAGCUCCUAGCUGGCCCGUGUGUGAAAGUGUCCCCGCUCUGGGCUUCUGCGAAUUCCUACCGUACAAAUCGGAGCAAUUCUUGACAAGAUUUUUGAGUUUUGUCAGAUGUGAAUUGUUAAGAUUUAAUUGAAAAAAUGAAGAGAACGCAACAGCUAUUUGGAAGGGAGUGACCCAGAACCAAUUAGAAUGAGUAACAAUUGACCAUUCUCCACCAAGAGCCACAUCGGGGAUCAGAUUAGAGCCAGGCAGCCCCCACCCUGCCCGCCCCGCUCCAAAUAGCAUUAGUGAGAGAUUUCCAGGAAUUGUUUUUCCGAUCAAUUUUCCUGGUUUUGAAGGUGAAGUUUAGCUGGGCACCAUGCCGAGGGUGCUGGCUGGUCACCUCCGGCAGGGCGAUGGACAGUGUGGGGACCAUCCUGAAAAAACAGGUCAGGCCAGCAGCAUUCCUGGUCAAAUUGCUGUUGACAGCCGGGACAGGCAGGGGGAGGACCAGAGAAAGGGCCUUUCAUCUGAGGGGCCCCCUCAGAUAAUUGGUCAUUCUUUCCUCCUGGGCCUCCUCUCAGCUGGGGAAAAUUCCCCACUAAGCCAGGGCUUCCCUGGCAACUCCCUAAUCCCCCCACCCCCGCAGGUGCAGAGGAGGUGUCGGUGGCCUCCUGCGGGCACGGGCUUGGCAGCUGGGUCUCCAGCCUGGGCUGCAAGCGGUCACAAAGCCAUGAGGGAGUUACUGAGACAUCAGCACGGCUGUAAUCCCAGCACUGGGGAGGCUGAGGCAGGAGGAGUCCUCAGAGUUCAAGGCCAUCCUGGCUGCAUAGGGAGACCCUGUCUCAAAACACCGCGACAACACAACAGUAGUAACAGCAACAGACCAGCAGGCCUGAGGGAUGGAUAGAAGGGGUUGGGCCAGAAUAGCACGGGUUGCCAGUUCCAUUGAAGAAACAAAGAUGUCCAUGUAACUCAUUUGUAACCUUUCCUAGGUGACCUGGGCCACGCCACAGAGCACAGUGGCACCAGCCAGUGGCUGUGCAACCCCACAAGUCUCCCGGCACGCCCCGCCACCUUGAUGUCACCCAGUGACAUCGAGCCGGAGGGAGGUGCUGCCGAAAGACCCCCUGCCUCUGCCUCCCCCCAGGACUUCAAGGCCCAUGGUGGAAAACCUGAGCGCUGCUUAUGCAGACACCCUGAAUCUGCAGGCUGAUUUGGGUAGAGCCGGAAUCUGCGCUACUCGGGAGGCAUCCAGGGCAUUCAUGAGGCACACUCCUGGGGGACGGGCUGCUCAUGGAGGUGUAAUCCUGGGGUCUGUGUCUGGGCCCUGGCCGUGCUUAUGCGGUGCUGCCUCCUGCUUCUCUUUGGAGCCCCCAUGAAUGGAGCAACGGUCCUUUCCCGUACCCUUCCACUGUGAGAGUCCUGACUUGGCUCCAAUGAACUGGACCGAACCCCCCCCCCACCCCCAGGCCUGAGCCAAAUCUUCCUCAGGCCUCCCUGGACGGGUGGCAGGGCUGAGGCUCACAGACAGUGCGCUGACCUGACAGUGCCUUCCAGUCCACCAACGUGUUUUGUAAUUUUCCUAGUAAACAACUUGCAUGCUCCUAAAAGUUGUUCAUAUUAUUGGGAAUUUGUAUAUAUUUAUUUGGGUAUUGAUUGGUGAGUGGCAUAUAGGAAUUUAAUGGCUUUUAUAGCCAUCAAAUUUGCUGAUUAUUAGCUAUUUGUUCAUGGAUUAUCUUGGUGUGGGCUUUCACAGCAUAUUCCAUAUUUGCAUCUUUGAAUGUCUUCUCAUCCAAAGUCGCACAUGUACGUGUAGUAGGAAGCACCCCCCGUGGCAAUACAUGGUCCAUGGUGACCCUGCUCAGUGGGAAGGCUUCCAGCAUGAUGUCCACUCCACAGUCUGCAUGCUUCCUCCUCCCCCUCAAGCUGGCGAACCCGCAGGUGGACUGUCCUCCCUUCUGUCCUCCAGGAACAGGAUUCCUUGGAGGCGUGGAGGACACAGGCCUCCCCUCCAGAGGGGAAGCCCCCUCUCCGGCUUCUUGGCAGCCUGUGUGACCGCUGCCUUCAUGGACACCGCAGACGUGAUCCUACAAACCCAGCGCCCUCUGCCUUGUCCCUUUCUGGGGACACAGACUGGCUCUGGCCCGGUGGAGGGGAUGGCAUCCUAGUGUGUGGAUGACAGGAGGUGGCAGUCCUGUUGUGUCACAUGGUCUGACUCUGCAGCUGGCCAGCGUCCUCUGCAGCUCUCCAGCCUGUCGCUCCUCUAAGUGGAUCUGAAUAAGGACCUCCCACCCCUUUGUUUUUUGUUAAGAAUUUAAAAAUUAAGUCUGAAUGAAGCUGA